Molecule: small nucleolar RNA, 110 nt
Organism: Tachyglossus aculeatus (Australian echidna)
Lineage: Eukaryota; Metazoa; Chordata; Mammalia; Monotremata; Tachyglossidae
Product: small nucleolar RNA SNORD90
Exons: 1
Source: RefSeq, a predicted model, not a curated record
AAUUAAAGUUAAAAAGUGUCUAAUGAUGAGGACUCAGGGCAGAUUCUGAGGUGAGAACUGAACUCAUCACUGAUACUUGUUUGAUGCAGUCUGAAGACACUUGAAAGACU